GCUGGCGGCGUGCCUAACACAUGCAAGUCGUACGAGAAACACGUUCUUCGGGAUGUGGAGUAAGUGGCGAACGGGUGAGUAACACGUGGGUAACCCGCCCCCGGGUUGGGGAUAACUGGCCGAAAGGCCCGCUAAUACCGAAUAAGACCACGGGAGCCUCGGCUCCAGUGGCCAAAGUCGGCCUCUCGAUGAAGCCGGCGCCUGGGGAAGGGCCCGCGGACCAUUAGCUUGUUGGUAGGGUAAUGGCCUACCAAGGCUGAGAUGGUUAGCUGGUCUGAGAGGAUGAUCAGCCACACUGGAACUGAGACACGGUCCAGACUCCUACGGGAGGCAGCAGUGAGGAAUAUUGCGCAAUGGGGGAAACCCUGACGCAGCAACGCCGCGUGGGUGAAGAAGGCCCUCGGGUUGUAAAGCCCUGUCAGGUGGGAAGAAACCUCCGCAGACGAAUACUCUGUGGAUCUGACUGUACCACCAGAGGAAGCACCGGCUAACUCCGUGCCACCAGCCGCGGUAAGACGGACGGUGCAAGCGUUGUUCGGAAUCACUGGGCGUAAAGCGCGUGCAGGCGGCUCGGUAAGUCGGAUGUGAAAGCCCGGAGCUCAACUUCGGAAGUGCAUUCGAAACUGU
This 627-nucleotide ribosomal RNA is filed under the name uncultured delta proteobacterium. RNAcentral's name for it is "bacterial SSU rRNA". It matches the Rfam family "Bacterial small subunit ribosomal RNA", at positions 35 to 636 of the family's 1533-position model. Lineage: Bacteria; Deltaproteobacteria. The record is from RNAcentral.